Molecule: RNA transcript, 1302 nt
Organism: Panicum virgatum (switchgrass)
Lineage: Eukaryota; Viridiplantae; Streptophyta; Magnoliopsida; Poales; Poaceae
Exons: 8
Source: RefSeq, a predicted model, not a curated record
UAAUUCCUCCCCAUAUCCACUCGUCGCGCAAACGAAGAAGAGAGCGUCUCUCCCGGUCUCCCCUCCCCCACCACCAACGAAACACUCGGGCCGGAGCAGCAACUUCUCGAAGUCAGCAACGAAACAAUUCCCGCUCCAAUUCUGGGGGCAUGGGCUCCAACGGCCACCCGCUGGCGGCGAGCGUCGCCGCGCAGAACGGGUCCCACUCCGGCGGCGGCGGCGGCGGAGGGGGCGCGAACCCUAGCAACGGCGGCACGGCGGCGGCGCUCCGGCACGACCCGGGCCUGGCGCGGGAGUGGUCGCCGGAGGAGCAGGCCACCCUCGACGAGCUGCUCGCCAAGUAUGCAUCUGAUGCGCCUGUCAUUCGUUAUGCAAAGAUAGCCAUGAAAUUGCCAGAGAAAACAGUUCGGGAUGUAGCCUUGCGCUGCAGAUGGAUGAAUAAAAAAGAGAGUGGCAAAAGAAAGAAAGAUGACCACAACUCGUCUAAGAAAAGCAAGGACAAAAAGGAGAAGGUUUCAGAUUCUUCAUCCAAACCACCUGUACACAUGGCCGGUAGGCCUAACGUUGCUCCAUACCCUCUCCCAGUUCUUCCCAUGGACGAUGAUGAAAUCUCAGCCAAAGCUAUUGGAGGCCCAACAGGAGAAAUCCUUGAGACUAUUGCGCAUGUUUUGAGUCAAAUCUCGACAAAUCUUACCAAUAUGCAGAUACAAGAUAACAUCUCACUGUUGUGCCAAACGCGGGAUAACAUACUCAGGGUCUUGAAAGAUCCAUAAUUAGGUCUUCGACUCUUGACAACUGACGGAUGUUCUAUGUAAAUCGAUCUGCUAGUCCUUGUUACUACUGCUGUACUUACAACCAUGAAUAGGAUAAAUGAUGCUCCAGAGAUCAUGAAGCAGAUGCCGCCGCUACCCGUGAAGAUAAACGAGGACCUCGUCAACUCAAUCCUCCCCAGGCCGACUGUACCUAUGCAGUAGCAAUAGCGAAACAAAUGUAUCCUCUGUAGUCCCAGGAGUUGUUUAGAUAGCAAUAGCUGAAAUAAAAAUGCCAGCCCUGGUGCUUGUUCGUCCCCUCUGUAGCUCCAUCCUCUCACACCUCCCGCUUCCUUCUGCUUGUUCAGUCUGGAUGCUGAUCUCCCAACCGUCCCGAAGUCAGGCGGUUGGAACGUGUACCUAGUUACCAAGGGCUGCUUCUAUACAGCAGUAUCAGGUUCCGACUCUGGCAUGUUUUGUAAUCUAUAGCUGUUCUCGUAAUGUCAUGGAACCGGAGUAGCCUUUAGCUUGAAAUGCUCUGCAGUUUGCUGUC